GCGGAAAAUACGGCGCCGUCCUCCUCUCAAUCGCAGCCAAGCGGCGGCCACAGCUCACCUCCCACUUAAAGGGCGAGACUGUGACUCCAGGUUGAGGCUGUCGGGACAACCCGAGUGGCGGGAGGAGAGAAAGACCGAGUGGGAUGGGGCGACGGCCCACACAGCCAGAGCAUCGAUGGCCAUUCUCCGUCCACUUUUCGGCGAACACCUCAUUUCCAGUUCCUGUGCACUGGACCGGUUGAAGGAAGCCAUUUGCGUGGAAGUCGCCCAUGUUGGAGAGAGUGGAAGCCAACGUCCAUCAACGCCUUCAGAAACGCAUCAAUGAAAUGGACAUCACAUGAUUAAUGUUGUUUUCCACACUUGAUUGUGUCAAAUGGUAUUUCACUAAGAACACAUUGAUGUCAAUAAAAUUUGUUUGCAGCUGC
Molecule: long non-coding RNA, 425 nt
Organism: Phyllopteryx taeniolatus (common seadragon)
Lineage: Eukaryota; Metazoa; Chordata; Actinopteri; Syngnathiformes; Syngnathidae
Exons: 3
Source: RefSeq, a predicted model, not a curated record